GAAACAAGCUAUCACACUUGGACAGUCAGAACCAGAUUUUAGAACUCUUUAAGCAUGUGAUUGUGGGACUAAUGUGUGACUAUAAUUACUUCCUUUAUGUUUGCCAGCUGGCAAUGACACUGGGAAUCAGGUCAUUACAUAUGGGAUGGGAGACCGCAUGAAGAAGUGUAGAGCUGAGUUCCAAGUUUGGUGCCAAUUGAAUACUGGGCAAGAUUCCAGACAGCAUCAGUAAUGUGGGAGAACUGCCGAAAGUUAAGGAGCUAGGCUGAGCAGUGGGGGUUUCAAUUAAAAACCACAGGAAAGGAAAGGAAUAUGUCAAUAAAACCACA
Long non-coding RNA from Cygnus olor (mute swan), 329 nucleotides. RefSeq lists it as uncharacterized. Lineage: Eukaryota; Metazoa; Chordata; Aves; Anseriformes; Anatidae. The transcript is spliced from 3 exons. The record is from RefSeq and is a predicted model, not a curated record.